ACGCUGGCGGCAGGCCUAACACAUGCAAGUCGAGCGGUAGAGAGAAGCUUGCUUCUCUUGAGAGCGGCGGACGGGUGAGUAAUGCCUAGGAAUCUGCCUGGUAGUGGGGGAUAACGCUCGGAAACGGACGCUAAUACCGCAUACGUCCUACGGGAGAAAGCAGGGGACCUUCGGGCCUUGCGCUAUCAGAUGAGCCUAGGUCGGAUUAGCUAGUUGGUGGGGUAAUGGCUCACCAAGGCGACGAUCCGUAACUGGUCUGAGAGGAUGAUCAGUCACACUGGAACUGAGACACGGUCCAGACUCCUACGGGAGGCAGCAGUGGGGAAUAUUGGACAAUGGGCGAAAGCCUGAUCCAGCCAUGCCGCGUGUGUGAAGAAGGUCUUCGGAUUGUAAAGCACUUUAAGUUGGGAGGAAGGGUUGUAGAUUAAUACUCUGCAAUUUUGACGUUACCGACAGAAUAAGCACCGGCUAACUCUGUGCCAGCAGCCGCGGUAAUACAGAGGGUGCAAGCGUUAAUCGGAAUUACUGGGCGUAAAGCGCGCGUAGGUGGUUAGUUAAGUUGGAUGUGAAAUCCCCGGGCUCAACCUGGGAACUGCAUUCAAAACUGACUGACUAGAGUAUGGUAGAGGGUGGUGGAAUUUCCUGUGUAGCGGUGAAAUGCGUAGAUAUAGGAAGGAACACCAGUGGCGAAGGCGACCACCUGGACUGAUACUGACACUGAGGUGCGAAAGCGUGGGGAGCAAAC
Molecule: ribosomal RNA, 745 nt
Filed under: uncultured bacterium
Lineage: Bacteria
Description: bacterial SSU rRNA
Rfam family: Bacterial small subunit ribosomal RNA
Source: RNAcentral